UGGAGCAGUAAGUGCUGGAAAGAGGAAGGAGGAUUACUCAUGACAAGAUGAGAAAUUAUACUGUAUUUGUGGGGUCAUAUAAAAAAUUAGCAAGCCUGGAACUCACAACCUGGUGAACUCUAAUUCUUGAGGAAGUCGGUUCAGUUUUCCCUUCCAUCCUUCACAUUUUCAUUACUUAAAAAGGAACUUAUACCUUAAGGCUUAAUUAAAUUUAGCUUCUCUCUUACGUUAAGUAAAAUGAAAUCCACAAAGAUUAAUCCUGAGAGGUUAAUUAAUUGAGUAUCAAAGGACACAUCAGAAUAUUAAAUAAUCUUAUAAUAACAGCAUACUUACUCAAUCUAAUAUAUUUAGUCUGACUUAUAUUAUAUUUCAGUGAUGAGGAUUCAGUCCUUCCUGGAUAUACAAAUUAUAUUC
This 414-nucleotide long non-coding RNA is filed under the name Bos taurus (domestic cattle). Its description in RNAcentral is "long non-coding RNA NONBTAT015968". Lineage: Eukaryota; Metazoa; Chordata; Mammalia; Artiodactyla; Bovidae. The record is from RNAcentral.